Molecule: ribosomal RNA, 305 nt
Filed under: uncultured bacterium
Lineage: Bacteria
Description: bacterial SSU rRNA
Rfam family: Bacterial small subunit ribosomal RNA
Source: RNAcentral
UACCUACGGGGCGCAGCAGUGGGGAAUAUUGCACAAUGGGGGAAACCCUGAUGCAGCAACGCCGCGUGAGUGAAGAAGUCAUUCGUGAUGUAAAGCUCUAUCAGCAGGGAAGAAAAUGACGGUACCUGAGUAAGAAGCCCCGGCUAACUACGUGCCAGCAGCCGCGGUAAUACGUAGGGGGCAAGCGUUAUCCGGAAUUACUGGGUGUAAAGGGAGAGUAGGCGGCAAGGUAAGCGAUAUGUGAAAGCCUUAGGCUUAACCAAAGGAUUGCAUAACGAACUAUCUAGCUAGAGUACAGGAGAGGA